Molecule: ribosomal RNA, 460 nt
Filed under: uncultured bacterium
Lineage: Bacteria
Description: partial 16S ribosomal RNA
Rfam family: Bacterial small subunit ribosomal RNA
Source: RNAcentral
CCUACGGGUGGCAGCAGUGAGGAAUAUUGGUCAAUGGGCGCGAGACUGAACCAGCCAAGUCGCGUGAAGGAUGAAUGCACAAAGUGUUGUAAACUUCUUUUAUCAAGGAAUAAAGUGAGGCACGUGUGCCUUUUUGUAUGUACUUUAUGAAUAAGCAUCGGCUAACUCCGUGCCAGCAGCCGCGGUAAUACGGAGGAUCCGAGCGUUAUCCGGAUUUAUUGGGUUUAAAGGGAGCGGAGAGGGGUUGGUAAGUCAGUUGUGAAAGUUUGGGGCUCAACCGUAAAAUUGCAUUUGAAACUGGCAGUCUUGAGUAGAGUUGAGGUAGGCGGAAUGCGGGGUGUAGCGGUGAAAUGCAUAGAUAGCGCGAAGAACUCCGAUUGCGAAGGCAGCAUACUAAACUGCCACUGACAUUGAGGCUCGAAAGUGUGGGUAUCAAACAGGAUUAGAUACCCGGGUAGUC